AGUGAACGCUGGCGGUAGGCCUAACACAUGCAAGUCGAACGGCAGCACAGUAAAAGCUUGCUCUUACGGGUGGCGAGUGGCGGACGGGUGAGGAAUACAUCGGAAUCUACUUUUUCGUGGGGGAUAACGUAGGGAAACUUACGCUAAUACCGCAUACGACCUACGGGUGAAAGCAGGGGAUCUUCGGACCUUGCGCGAUUGAAUGAGCCGAUGUCGGAUUAGCUAGUUGGCGGGGUAAAGGCCCACCAAGGCAACGAUCCGUAGCUGGUCUGAGAGGAUGAUCAGCCACACUGGAACUGAGACACGGUCCAGACUCCUACGGGAGGCAGCAGUGGGGAAUAUUGGACAAUGGGCGCAAGCCUGAUCCAGCCAUACCGCGUGGGUGAAGAAGGCCUUCGGGUUGUAAAGCCCUUUUGUUGGGAAAGAAAAGCAGCAGGUUAAUACCCCGCUGUUCUGACGGUACCCAAAGAAUAAGCACCGGCUAACUUCGUG
Molecule: ribosomal RNA, 492 nt
Filed under: uncultured bacterium
Lineage: Bacteria
Description: partial 16S ribosomal RNA
Rfam family: Bacterial small subunit ribosomal RNA
Source: RNAcentral